Molecule: transfer RNA, 55 nt
Filed under: Camelus bactrianus (Bactrian camel)
Lineage: Eukaryota; Metazoa; Chordata; Mammalia; Artiodactyla; Camelidae
Also listed under: 2 other names
Rfam family: tRNA
About the family: Transfer RNA (tRNA) molecules are approximately 80 nucleotides in length.
Source: Rfam by way of RNAcentral
GCUCAGUGGUAGAGCAUGUGCCUAGCAUGCACAAGGUCCUGGGUUCAAUUCCCAG